AGAGUUUGAUCAUGGCUCAGAACGAACGCUGGCGGCAGGCCUAACACAUGCAAGUCGAACGCACCGCAAGGUGAGUGGCAGACGGGUGAGUAACACGUGGGAACCUACCCUUCGGUACGGAAUAACUCAGGGAAACUUGAGCUAAUACCGCAUACGCCCCUCGGGGGAAAGAUUUAUCGCCGAAGGAUGGGCCCGCGUCGGAUUAGCUUGUUGGUGAGGUAAUGGCUCACCAAGGCAAUGAUCCGUAGCUGGUCUGAGAGGAUGAUCAGCCACACUGGGACUGAGACACGGCCCAGACUCCUACGGGAGGCAGCAGUGGGGAAUAUUGGACAAUGGGCGAAAGCCUGAUCCAGCCAUGCCGCGUGAGUGAAGAAGGCCUUAGGGUUGUAAAGCUCUUUUACCAGGGACGAUAAUGACGGUACCUGGAGAAUAAGCCCCGGCUAACUUCGUGCCAGCAGCCGCGGUAAUUC
RNAcentral lists this ribosomal RNA (470 nucleotides) under uncultured bacterium. Its description in RNAcentral is "bacterial SSU rRNA". It matches the Rfam family "Bacterial small subunit ribosomal RNA", at positions 8 to 526 of the family's 1533-position model. The record is from RNAcentral.